CCCUUCCGGGAGCGUUGCACAGGUGCUGCAUGGCUGUCGUCAGCUCGUGUCGUGAGAUGUUCGGUUAAGUCCGCUAACGAGCGCAACCCUCGCUGUGUGUUAUAUGUGUCACACGGGACUGCCGGUCUUAAGCCGGAGGAAGGUGGGGAUGAUGUCAAGUCAGCAUGGCCUUUAUAUCCUGGGCUACACACACGCUACAAUGGCCAACACAAUAGGUUGCUAAGCCGCGAGGUGGCGCCAAUCCAUAAAGUUGGUCUCAGUUCAGAUUGUAGGCUGCAACCCGCCUGCAUGAAGUUGGAACCGCUAGUAAUCGUGGAUCAGCCAAGCCGCGGUGAAUACGUUCCCGGGCCUU
RNAcentral lists this ribosomal RNA (352 nucleotides) under uncultured Leptolinea sp. RNAcentral's name for it is "bacterial SSU rRNA". It matches the Rfam family "Bacterial small subunit ribosomal RNA", at positions 1016 to 1382 of the family's 1533-position model. Lineage: Bacteria; Bacillati; Chloroflexota; Anaerolineae; Anaerolineales; Anaerolineaceae. The record is from RNAcentral.